RNAcentral lists this ribosomal RNA (223 nucleotides) under uncultured bacterium. RNAcentral's name for it is "partial 16S ribosomal RNA". It matches the Rfam family "Bacterial small subunit ribosomal RNA", at positions 109 to 334 of the family's 1533-position model. The record is from RNAcentral.
AGUAAUGCAUAGGAAUUUGCCUUGGAGUGGGGGAUAGCCCGGAGAAAUUCGGAUUAAUACCGCAUGCGCUCUACGGAGCAAAGCGGGCCUCUGAUUUAAGCUCGCGCUUUGAGAUAAGCCUAUGUCGGAUUAGCUAGUUGGUAGGGUAAAGGCCUACCAAGGCGACGAUCCGUAGCUGGUUUGAGAGGAUGAUCAGCCACACUGGGACUGAGACACGGCCCAG